RNAcentral lists this ribosomal RNA (655 nucleotides) under Bacillus amyloliquefaciens. RNAcentral's name for it is "bacterial SSU rRNA". It matches the Rfam family "Bacterial small subunit ribosomal RNA", at positions 61 to 699 of the family's 1533-position model. The record is from RNAcentral. Lineage: Bacteria; Bacillati; Bacillota; Bacilli; Caryophanales; Bacillaceae.
GUCGAGCGGACGAUGGGAGCUUGCUCCCUGAUGUUAGCGGCGGACGGGUGAGUAACACGUGGGUAACCUGCCUGUAAGACUGGGAUAACUCCGGGAAACCGGGGCUAAUACCGGAUGCUUGUUUGAACCGCAGGGUUCAGACAUAAAAGGUGGCUUCUGCUACCACUUACAGAUGGACCCGCGGCGCAGUAACUAGUUGGUGAGGUAACGGCUCACCAAGGCGACGAUGCAUACCCGACCUGAGAGGGUGAUCGGCCACACUGGGACUGACACACGGCCCAGACUCCUACGGGAGGCAGCAGUAGGGAAUCUUCCGCAAUGGACGAAAGUCUGACGGAGCAACGCCUCGUGAGUGAUGAAGGUUUUCGGAUCGUAAAGCUCUGUUGUUAGGGAAGAACAAGUGCCGUUCAAAUAGGGCGGCACCUUGACGGUACCUAACCAGAAAGCCACGGCUAACUACGUGCCAGCAGCCGCGGUAAUACGUAGGUGGCAAGCGUUGUCCGGAAUUAUUGGGCGUAAAGGGCUCGCAGGCGGUUUCUUAAGUCUGAUGUGAAAGCCCCCGGCUCAACCGGGGAGGGUCAUUGUAAACUGGUGAACUUGAGUGCAGAAGAGGAGAGUGGAAUUCCUCGUGUAGCGGUGAAAUGCGUAGAGAUGU